CUUCCGCUCUUAUCCGUUACCAAAGAUGGCUGGCAUUCCAUAGCCCUACUGCGGCACGUCCGCGGCUGUAGUGCCGUGUUGCGGUGCCCCAAAAUAGCGGACUCUACACUGCCCUACUGCGACACGCCUGUUCCUUUACUCCUCAGUUGGGCUUCCGCUUAAAUCAGUGGCUAAAGAUGGCGGACAGUCUAUAGCCCUACUGCGGCACGUCCGCGGCUGUAGUGCUGCGUAGCUGUGGCCAAAAUGACAGGAUACUACACUGCCCUACUACUACACGCCAGUGCCUUUUCUCCUCAGUUCGGCUUCCACUCUAACUAAUGGAAAAAGAUGUCGGACACUCCAUGGCCCUUCAGCGGCACGUGCGCUGCUAAAGUGCCGCGUUGCAGUGGCCCAAAAUGGCGUACUCCACACUGCCCGACUACGACACGCCAGUGCCUUUACUCCACAGUUCGGCUUCCGCUCUAAUCAGUGG
Parasteatoda tepidariorum (common house spider) is the source of this 472-nucleotide non-coding RNA. Lineage: Eukaryota; Metazoa; Arthropoda; Arachnida; Araneae; Theridiidae. The record is from RefSeq and is a predicted model, not a curated record.